This is an RNA transcript of Pseudonaja textilis, 1062 nucleotides long. It is a transcript of the gene named MYST/Esa1 associated factor 6, with no coding region annotated. Lineage: Eukaryota; Metazoa; Chordata; Lepidosauria; Squamata; Elapidae. The record is from RefSeq and is a predicted model, not a curated record.
UCCUCCCCGGCGGCCUGGUCGUGGUCGGGCUGCUGCUGCUGCUGCUGCUGCUCCGCGCUGGCGGUCGGGCCAUGGCGGCGCUGCACGGGGCGGGUGCCAAGGCCGGCGCCCCGCCGCAGAUCCCGGACACCCGCCGCGAGCUGGCCGAGCUGGUCAAGCGCAAGCAGGAGCUGGCGGAGACGCUGGCCAACCUGGAGCGGCAGAUCUACGCCUUCGAGGGCAGCUACCUGGAGGACACGCAGAUGUACGGGAACAUCAUCCGCGGCUGGGACCGCUACCUGACCAACCAGAAAAACUCCAACAGCAAGAACGACCGUCGGAACCGGAAGUUCAAGGAGGCGGAGCGGCUCUUCAGCAAGUCCUCGGUCACCUCGGCGGCCGCAGUCAGCGCCCUGGCUGGAGUUCAGGACCAACUGAUUGAGAAGCGUGAGCCCGGCAGCGGCACUGAGAGUGACACGUCCCCGGAUUUCCACAACCAAGAGAACGAGCCAAGCCAGGAAGAGGUGGAAGAGCUGGAUGGGUCCGUUCAGGGGGUGAAGCCCCAGAAAGCGGCCUCUUCCGCCUCAGGGAGCCACCACAGUAGCCACAAAAAGCGGAAGAAUAAAAACCGGCACAGGUAUGUAUAUUAGGUUAGGCUGGCAAGUUUUUAAAAAUACAGACAAAAGCACAAUGGAGGAUUGAUCUCAAGUUGAACAAAAAACCACGAGCUGACUACUAGUGGUCCUCCAGGAUGAAUCUUCCAGGAACUUUCCUCCUUCCUUCCUUCCUUCCUCCCUUCCCAAGAGACUGAAUAAGCACAAGGCCAGCUCUUUCUUGCAGCAGCCGGCACACCAGCAGCACUGCUGGCGAAAACAGCUGCUGCCAAUUCAUCAUGCAUAAAAUCCACAAAGUCAAGUCCUCUCUACUUGCUGCCAUCUUCUGGUUGAAUUGUUUUGUCUUAUGUAUUUGGCUCUUUUUUUUUAAAAAAAAAUAAACUUUAUUUAAUUUUCCAUUUGUUAAAGAUUAAGACAGAUUGUCUGCUAGAAGCUUUUAUUCUUCAGAGCCCAAAUAGUCUUUUUUUUU